RNAcentral lists this small nucleolar RNA (163 nucleotides) under Lates calcarifer (barramundi perch). Its description in RNAcentral is "Small Cajal body specific RNA 16 (ENSLCAG00010026567.1)". Lineage: Eukaryota; Metazoa; Chordata; Actinopteri; Centropomidae. The record is from RNAcentral.
GGGGUCUCGGGCGGUAGCUGCAGCGUGUCUGUCGGCCGUACGCUGCAGCUGGCCUGUGUGGACCUAGACUAUAACAGGAGGAGGCUGACAGUCCGUCCUGGCAGUUGCAGGUGUGAGCAUGCACACAGCUGUCUGAUGCUCAUGUAUGAUACUGCACACAAAC